CGAAGGAGGGUGGUGCGGGUGCGGGACGAGGUGAAGUGCUCAAAAAGGACAAGGCGAGCUUCCUGCAGGAACUGCAGCUGUUCCACGACCGGAAUGGGAUGGGAGGUAGGAAUGUGGAUUCGCACCGGUUGUAUUCGGUGGUGGUGGCCCGGGAUUGGUGAUUGAAGGUCAAUUCCCGCGAGGACUGUAACGAGAUCAUCGAGGAGAUGGCGCUGCCGAAGAGUUGCGUGCACAACGAGAUAGCAUUGAAGAAGAUAAACAUCCGGUUUUUGGACAAGUACGAGACAGGUGAUUUUCACGGUGAGGAGAAGGAGCCGACGAAGAGGAGGACGUCGAGAAGCGGGAUAAUCGGAGGUAGCCAGAGCGGAUGUUGCACUCGGUGCCGGCGGUUUACAACACCUCAAAUAACCGCCCACAAACGCUCAUCUCGCGAUGGCGCAGCUCCAGCCGAAUGAACCCUGGACAGCGUGCCGAAAAAAUCUUUGUCAUUCUCGAAGGAGGAUGAAGUGCUCGAAAUCGAAUUCCGUUCCGAGGGCCUCAUCAACCCAAUCUUCCGGAUGCGCUUCCAGAAUCGGGAACUCCCCGUUCAGGCACUUCACUUUCCAGCCAGGAAACGUCGAUCACCCUUGCCGAAUCUACAGACAACUUCUCCAAACCUGUCCUGAUGAAGGCCGGCAACCAUCCUGUUCUCUACUUUGCUGUCGCGCGUCGAAACGUCCGUCUGGAACCGUCCAGCUUGGGGUCUUCGAAAGUGACCGGUGGCGUACCUUAAGAAUCGGUACAGCUUGGACUCGGAUUUUGGCCAGAAGCGUUAAAUACAAUAACAAAAUGUCUUAUUUAACAUACUGUUUAAAACUUUUAAAAAUAAAUAUAAAAUCAAGCCUAGAAUCAAGCACAUUUUUCUGAAAUUAACACUGUAGUAUUAAAUGUUGUUUAUUCUUGCUAUAAAAGGUUUCUUUUCCAAUUAAAAGUAAAACACUUUUACCGAUACAACGAUUUUGUUCCAUAAAUGCAUGGUAGUAUCAAAAACUUUCCAACUUUUAAAUUGAAAAGUUUGAACUUUCUACGAAUAUUCACCAACGCGAACUUUUAAUCCAACGAACGAUCUUUUUAAAUUCAGAGUAUUUUUUCUUUGUGUGCGGUUGUAUUCCCGGGGUGGAACGGGGUGGGUAGACGAGAUUGAAGGUGAAGCAGAUUUCAAUCCGCUUUUUGAACAAGUACGAAAAAGUUAAUUUUCACGGUGAGGACAAGGAUCCGACGGAAGAGGGAAACGACGAGUAGCGGCAUAAUCGGAGGUGGUCAGCGCGGAUGUUGCACUCGGUGCCGGCGGUUUACGACCAUCAGCAGCAUUAUGUGCCAGAAGUGAUGACGGGACAGUGUGGGAUGUCCCGAGGGUCCGCAGUCCAUUUCUCGUUGCGGGACGAGUAUUACCUAAACAUCCGGAAGAACAGUUUGCACUAGUUCUGGAAGGACCGUCUGUACGAAAGCCGCAGGUCCUGGAGCUGUCGUACUCAGAUUACUUCCAGAGGUUUGAGCGAGAUCCGAUGAAU
Molecule: long non-coding RNA, 1550 nt
Organism: Culex pipiens pallens (northern house mosquito)
Lineage: Eukaryota; Metazoa; Arthropoda; Insecta; Diptera; Culicidae
Exons: 3
Source: RefSeq, a predicted model, not a curated record